This 787-nucleotide ribosomal RNA is filed under the name Chlorobi bacterium SCGC AAA160-C11. Its description in RNAcentral is "bacterial SSU rRNA". It matches the Rfam family "Bacterial small subunit ribosomal RNA", at positions 90 to 858 of the family's 1533-position model. Lineage: Bacteria; Pseudomonadati; Chlorobiota. The record is from RNAcentral.
GUAAAGUGGCGAACGGGUGAGUAACGCGUAAAUAACUUGCCUUGGAGAUUGGGACAACAUUGGGAAACCAGUGCUAAUACCAAAUAAUGCAGCGGGCCCUUCGGGGCAUAGUUGUUAAAGUAGGCUUCGGCUUACACUUCAAGAUAGAUUUGCGUCCGAUUAGUUAGUUGGUAGGGUAAUAGCCUACCAAGACCGAGAUCGGUAGCUGGUCUGAGAGGAUGAUCAGCCACACUGGAAUUGAGAUACGGUCCAGACUCCUACGGGAGGCAGCAGUGAGGAAUUUUGCACAAUGGGCGAAAGCCUGAUGCAGCAACACCGCGUGAUUGAUGAAGUUUUUAGGAAUGUAAAAAUCUGUCGUAAGGGAAGAAAUGUUUCGGAUGUUAAUACCAUCUGUUACUGACGGUACCUUACAAGAAAGGACCGGCUAACUUCGUGCCAGCAGCCGCGGUAAUACGAGGGGUCCUAGCGUUGUCCGGAUUUACUGGGCGUAAAGGGUACGUAGGCGUUUUAAUAAGUUGUAUGUUAAAUAUCUUAGCUUAACUAAGAAAGUGCAUACAAAACUGUUAAGAUAGAGUUUGAGAGAGGAACGCAGAAUUCAUGGUGGAGCGGUGACAUGCGUAGAUAUCAUGAGGAAAGUCAAAUGCGAAGGCAGCCUUCUGGCUCAAAACUGACGCUGAGGUACGAAAGCGUGGGGAGCGAACAGGAUUAGAUACCCUGGUAGUCCACGCCGUAAACGAUGAGUAUUUGGUGCUGGGGGAUUCGACCCUUUCAGUGCCGUAGCUAACGC